Molecule: ribosomal RNA, 458 nt
Filed under: uncultured bacterium
Lineage: Bacteria
Description: partial 16S ribosomal RNA
Rfam family: Bacterial small subunit ribosomal RNA
Source: RNAcentral
CCUACGGGAGGCUGCAGUGAGGAAUAUUGGUCAAUGGGCGAGAGCCUGAACCAGCCAAGUCGCGUGAGGGAGUACUGCCCUAUGGGUUGUAAACCUCUUUUGUCGGGGAGCAAAAGCCGGACGUGUCCGGCUGUGAGCGUACCCGAAGAAAAAGCAUCGGCUAACUCCGUGCCAGCAGCCGCGGUAAUACGGAGGAUGCGAGCGUUAUCCGGAUUUAUUGGGUUUAAAGGGUGCGCAGGCGGAUUUUUAAGUCAGCGGUAAAAUCGUGGGGCUCAACCCCAUCCAGCCGUUGAAACUGGGGAUCUAGAGUGUGCGAGAGGUAUGCGGAAUGCGUGGUGUAGCGGUGAAAUGCAUAGAUAUCACGCAGAACCCCGAUUGCGAAGGCAGCAUACCGGUGCACAACUGACGCUCAGGCACGAAAGCGUGGGUAUCGAACAGGAUUAGAUACCCCUGUAGUC